Molecule: ribosomal RNA, 323 nt
Filed under: uncultured archaeon
Lineage: Archaea
Description: bacterial SSU rRNA
Rfam family: Archaeal small subunit ribosomal RNA
Source: RNAcentral
CCCUACGGGGCGCAGCAGGCGCGAAAGCUUUACAAUGCGAGAAAUCGUGAUAAGGGAACCCCGAGUGCCCGUAAAUUCGGGCUGUUAAUCUGUGUAAAAAGCAGGUGGGGAAAGGGCCGGGCAAGACCGGUGCCAGCCGCCGCGGUAAUACCGGCGGCUCGAGUGGUGGCCACUAUUACUGGGCUUAAAGCGUCCGUAGCUGGAUUGUUAAGUCUCUUGGGAAAUCUACCGGCUUAACCGAUAGGCGUUCAAGGGAUACUGGCAAUCUAGGGACCGGGAGAGGUGAGAGGUACUCCAGGGGUAGGAGUGAAAUCCUGUAAUCC